ACGUACACUCCUACGGGAGGCAGCAGUGGGGAAUAUUGGACAAUGGGCGCAAGCCUGAUCCAGCCAUGCCGCGUGAGUGAUGAAGGCCCUAGGGUUGUAAAGCUCUUUCACCGGUGAAGAUAAUGACGGUAACCGGAGAAGAAGCCCCGGCUAACUUCGUGCCAGCAGCCGCGGUAAUACGAAGGGGGCUAGCGUUGUUCGGAUUUACUGGGCGUAAAGCGCACGUAGGCGGACUAUUAAGUCAGGGGUGAAAUCCCGGGGCUCAACCCCGGAACUGCCUUUGAUACUGGUAGUCUUGAGUUCGAGAGAGGUGAGUGGAAUUCCGAGUGUAGAGGUGAAAUUCGUAGAUAUUCGGAGGAACACCAGUGGCGAAGGCGGCUCACUGGCUCGAUACUGACGCUGAGGUGCGAAAGCGUGGGGAGCAAACAGGAUUAGAUACCCUAGUAGUCC
This 450-nucleotide ribosomal RNA is filed under the name uncultured organism. Its description in RNAcentral is "partial 16S ribosomal RNA". It matches the Rfam family "Bacterial small subunit ribosomal RNA", at positions 329 to 796 of the family's 1533-position model. The record is from RNAcentral.